AAAACUCACCAGGUCAGGACACGGUAAGGAUUGACGGACUGAAGGCUCUUUCUCGAUUCCGUGGAAAGUGGUGCAUGGCCGUUUUGGUUGGUGGAUCGAUCCGUCUGGUUAAUUCCGUUAACGAACGAGACCUCGGCACUCCGAAUAGCGCGGCGGACGUCGCGGGCCUCCGGGCCGUCUUCCGCACGAGCUUCUUAGAGGGACCGUCCCCCGCCGGGGAAGGAGGUGCGAGGCAACGACAGGUCUGUGAUGCCCUUAGAUGUUCUGGGCCGCACGCGCAUUACACUGACGCGUCCAACGGGUGACUCCCGACCCGAAGGGGCCGGGGAAUCCGCAAGGCGCGUCGUGAUGGGGAUUGAACGUUGCAAUUGUUGUUCACGAACGAGGAAUUCCUAGUAGGCGCGGGUCAUCAACCCGCGCCGAUUACGUCCCUGC
This 435-nucleotide ribosomal RNA is filed under the name uncultured eukaryote. RNAcentral's name for it is "bacterial SSU rRNA". It matches the Rfam family "Eukaryotic small subunit ribosomal RNA", at positions 1210 to 1656 of the family's 1831-position model. The record is from RNAcentral.